UCCAUUGUCUCGGAUCGAGAUUGAGUUUUCACAAGUCAUUUUUGGAGGAAGUUGUUUAAGGAAGUGGGCACCAAAUUAUGCUACUCGACAGCGUAUCACCCGCAGACGGACGGACAAUCUGGACGUGUGAACCAGUGCUUAGAGCAAUAUUUGCGAUGUUCAGUACGCGACAGUCCAGCAAAAUGGAAGAAAUGGUUGCCGAUGGCAGAAUUUUGGUAUAACUCUUCCUACCAUACAUCCCUGGGCUGCACCCCAUUUAAAGCUCUAUAUGGAAUUGAUCCUAAUUUUGGCACAAUGCUACCUUGGAGGAUGAAUUGGACUUCAUUAGCAGAGCUAUCAGCUGAUCGUGCUGACUUCCUGGCUUUGCUCCGGGAGCAUCUUUGCCGGGCACAGGAGCGCAUCAAGGCUCAAGCUGACAAGCAUCACCAAGACUGUGCUUUCGCGGUAGAUGAAGAUGUGCUCCUCAAGCUCGAGCCAUAUGCUCAAUCGUCACUUGUCAAUUGACCAUGCACCAAACUGGCUCUCAAAUUCUAUGAGCCCAUUAUAAAGUUCUGGAACGAAUUGGAGCUGCAGCUUAUCGGUUGGAUCUUCCCCCCUCAAGCCUCAUACACUCCAUGUUUCAUGUGUCACAGCUGA
RNAcentral lists this ribosomal RNA (636 nucleotides) under Triticum aestivum (bread wheat). RNAcentral describes it as "partial small subunit ribosomal RNA". The record is from RNAcentral. Lineage: Eukaryota; Viridiplantae; Streptophyta; Magnoliopsida; Poales; Poaceae.